GGUGUGAUGGCGUGGAUCGAUCAGAGCAAAGGGGGGAGAAGACAAACCCUAACUUCAUGAAAUUCUCAAGAAUUGAAAGAGAUUAGGAGCCCAAACUAAUGCAUGAACUCGAAACCUCAAUCAUCUAAGCUUGUACAACAAGCGGAACGUGUCAAGGAGAGGUCAAGCAUAGGAGGAUAACGGGUCAAGAUAAGGCAAGAUGACAAAUACACUUAUUGGAGUACUCGAGGUAAGUGAAUUUCGAUUCACUUUUUAGUAGGUUUAAUAGAAUUUAAUACUUAUGUUUACGAAACAUCAUGAAAGAACAUGUAAUAAUCAGAAGUACAAAGCCAAUAAUGCCUCAUUAUUGAAGAAGGUUGUAUUUAAGCCGAAAGUAAAUUGGUGGGUUUAAACGGGUCGAAUUUUAUGUGCAUAUGUUGCGUAAUGAAAUGAAAUUCGUUAUGGUUAAGACCUUGGGUAAGAAUUUUAGUCAUUAUGUAAGGGGAACAUUUCCCGGACCAUUAGGUACAAGUUUUAUAUGAUUCGGUUGUCGGUCAAUGAAUGAACGGAUUGUUUCGUUUUAGUGUAGGAAAUUUUAUAAGUAUAUGUGUAUAGGAAUCCAAAGGCCACGUGGGUUGAAUCGUAGAUUGUCUAUACUAUGUAAAGUUUUGAAUGUGACAUUCCGGCAUAAACCUACAUGUAAAAGAAGCUUGUGUAUAUAUUCGUGAUUAAUUGAUUGUGCGAAGGAAGGAACAUUGGCAUGAAUGAAGGUACGCACAUAUAUAUAUAAGUGUAUAUAUAUAUAUAUAUGUAUGUAUGUAUGAUAAUAAGUACGUAGGUGUGAAUGUAUGUGUGAAUGAAUGUUCAAUGCUUAAGACAUAUGCAUGAACGUAUCAAAGGGUUCGAGUAUUUAUGGAUACUAAUGAUGUGCGUUGAGUUGGAAUGUAAUGUAGGUAUGGGGUCGUUGGCUUCAUGAAGAAAUGGAGCUGGAUUUGGAUAAGAGUAUUUAAGAAAGCGCUUGGACAAUUCCACGACUACUUUAUAGAAUGCUCUACGAAAUUUUAUUAUAUAGUUUAAUGUUGAAUGGUAUGUUGAUAACUAAUGGUUUGGUUGUACGUGGUGUCCACAGGUAUCGCUUGGGUUUUCUCUACUUUUAUUGAAGUGAAGCGGACUUAGUUCGAGUUGAGAGCAAGGAUUGUACGGGCUAGAAUGGUCACAUAGUGUAACUCAUAUAGGUUUUGAAGUAUUAAUGUUAUAAAACGUUAUAAAUCCGUUUUAAUGAAUAUAUGGCAUUUCGCAUUUGAACUUUCAUGUGUUUGAUAUGUCUAUUAAAGAACGAAAUUUUUGG
Molecule: long non-coding RNA, 1327 nt
Filed under: Helianthus annuus (common sunflower)
Lineage: Eukaryota; Viridiplantae; Streptophyta; Magnoliopsida; Asterales; Asteraceae
Description: hypothetical non coding rna
Source: RNAcentral